UACGUAGGUGGCGAGCGUUAUCCGGAUUUACUGGGUGUAAAGGGCGUGUAGGCGGGUCUGCCAGUCGGGUGUGAAAUUUCCAGGCUUAACCUGGACGGGUCAUCCGAAACUGCGGAUCUUGAGUACUGGAGAGGAUAGUGGAAUUCCUAGUGUAGCGGUAAAAUGCGUAGAUAUUAGGAGGAACACCAGUGGCGAAGGCGGCUAUCUGGACAGUAACUGACGCUGAGGCGCGAAAGCGUGGGGAGCAAACAGG
RNAcentral lists this ribosomal RNA (253 nucleotides) under uncultured bacterium. RNAcentral's name for it is "partial 16S ribosomal RNA". It matches the Rfam family "Bacterial small subunit ribosomal RNA", at positions 524 to 776 of the family's 1533-position model. The record is from RNAcentral.